GUGAAGGCUGGCUCUGCUACAGAUGCAACAACUGAAUUCAGAUCAGUGGUUAUUUGAGGUUCCACUGUGACAACUGUCUCUAGGCUUUGCCUAAUGUCUGUUGGAGGCAAAAAUCAACUUGGACAGCCAUUGAUAUGAAGUAUCUCCUUAGUCCUCACAACACCUUACAAGGUGGAGACGGGGACUUCUGCUCCCACAGUGCAGAUGAGGAAAAUGGGACCUCAAAGAAAACAAACUUACCUCUGCCCUGGGGCCAGCAUGUGUCCAUGAUCUCAGAGUGAUAACCCCUUCCUCGAGCCUCCUUAGAAGCCCUUACCAGCAUCCGUCCCUCAAAGGCUGUGGCCAGGACCCCACGGGCUGUGGAUCAUGUACACCCGCAGUAAGGAGGUGGGCCCAGGCUUGGGCACUUCCUCCAUCUCUCGGGACCACGCUGGAGCUGGGCAGCGCAGGGAGCUGGGCUUGCAGCAAAACCGGAGACAGAGUUUGGAGGUGGCAGCUCCCGAGGGCCCCAAGAUGGAGAGGCAGGGGCAUGCUGACCAGGGAAGGUAAGUAUUUGCAAGCUGCCUUGGAAGCAGGAAGUCCUGUUCCCGAAUAUAAUCAGGCCCCAAGUACCUUCCUGGUCCUUGGAGUUUGAAAUCACAGA
This 643-nucleotide long non-coding RNA is filed under the name Mus spicilegus (steppe mouse). RNAcentral describes it as "lncRNA (ENSMSIG00000022047.1)". The record is from RNAcentral. Lineage: Eukaryota; Metazoa; Chordata; Mammalia; Rodentia; Muridae.